CGGGGCGGGGUCCGCCGCGCCUGCGGGCCGCGCGCGCCUGUGCUGCAGUGUGCGGCGCAUGGCUGCGAGGGCCUGGCGGGGGGGCGGGCGCGAGUCGGAAAGACACCGAUCGGGGAAUGGGCGAGGAGGCUUGCCUUAAUUCGCAGGAAGCCUAGGACUUGGGAGAGCCAUACAAUUUGAAAGAUGAGGCACCGUGAAAUGCAGAAACUUGUGGUUCGGAUAGCUCAGCUGAUUAAUUUCAUGUUGCCACUGUUUGUGAGUUUUGCCUUUUUAUUUUCUCAGUUCGUUCUGUGCUUACCUGAUAAUGUGAAAAACACGAGCUUUAGAAAACCGAGUAGGUGUACUUGGUUUACUGUAAUGACUUGUUCUCGAAAGUUAGGGUACCAAACGCUGGAGGCAAAUAAUAUUUCAGUCAUUCGAAGAACAGUGCCCGAGCAUUUAACAUUGAAGCUGUUAAAAGGGCAGUGUAGGCCCGAAUUUUGGAUCGAAGCCAUCAACUUUAUGGAACAGUCCUAGGGGCUUUUUGAAAAGGAGAUUUAAAAACACAUUUCAGAGGUGAUAGCCGAGUUAAGGAAGUGAGAAAAAACUUGGAUAGGGAGGAAAUAAAUGGACACUGAAGGAUGUUAGGAAGUAGGGAUUCCUUGUGCAACUUAGAGUUUUGUAAAUAAGACUGCUUGGCCUUAUGUCAAGAUACAUCAGUUGGUUAUAGCUUAGCGCUUGGAGGCCUACGUUAUAGUAGACUAGUUCUCCCUCCGCCCCGCCCCUUGAAAAUCUAUUUCAAGACCAUAAACCACAUUGCUAAUCCUUGGAAAUGCAGAAGAAGGUGGUUAGGUUUAAAAUGUGGCUUUAAAAUGGUCCUAGCAGAAACCUAUUGAUGUUACUAUUCAAAAUAUCUGCCCAGUAUAUAGGAAACAAAAAGGUAAAACCUAAAACACUAGAAAUUCAUAGUUCAUCUUCAGUUAUUAGCCUAUUAAGAUUUGGUAAAGCCUUCAUCCUUCAUUUCAGACAAAUAAAUUUAUGUGGUUAAUAAGUGUGUAUUUUGUAAUGAGUUAUGUGUGUGUAUGUGUGUGUGUGUGUGUCCACCCAUCUGAACUUGACCUGCAAACCAGGAGGUUCUUGUUUAUUUCUGGUAAAUAUUUUUGAUAGUCUUAUUAAAGGCAUUUAAUUCAAAAAUCCAAAUUUGCACACAUUUUUCCAGCUGAGUAGAGAAGGCUGGAAUGUUUGAAUAUUGAAUAUUCAAUUCAAUAUUCAGUUCUCACUUAUUUUUUCCUCUUAUUCUUUAAAAAAAAAAUUAAGCCAGUUAAAUUUAGAAGUGGGGGGUUGUAUACCAAUUUUAGUGACACUAAUGUUAAUAAGUUCUGAUAACCCACUCCCAUUGGACAACCCCCAUUGUUACUUUUUCUUAAAAGGAGUCUGAAAAUAAUUAGUUUGCUUUAACUGGAAGAACGAAUGUUAGGGAACCACCCUGCUGAACUCCAUUUUGCUGUCAGCUCUGGAUAAAAGCUAUUUUAUCCAGAAAAGCUAUCUCUGUGCAGAAAUUUUGAAUAGUUUAGGAACCAAAAUAGGUUUCUAGACAUUCUGAAGCCACCCUUCUACCCUAACCACCUUACGUAUUUCCAAGGAUUAGUGAUGUAGUUUAUGCUCUUGGAAUAGAUUUUUCUGGGGGAAGGGAGAACCUCCCUUGUAGCUCUCUGCAGAUUAUCAGAGUCACUACUGCAGGGAUUUGCUCCUGUGGGCCUAUAUGUCUCCCUAGAUACCUUUCUAAAAUUAUUAGCUUUGUUAUCUCUGUAUUCCCCUGUAGUGAAUAAGGAAGUAUUUUGUUUUUGUUUUUGUUUUGUCCUUAAUAAUACGUCAGAUUUCACAGAAUAAUCAAAGUAAAAGAGAACUUUAUUUUUUGACCGAAACUCUGUAUCCAAAAAAAAAAAAAAAACAAAAAACCAUAUGUUGUUAUUCAGUAUUUGAACAUCUGAACAUUUUGUUGUCUAAGGAGUUUGUCCUUGCCGGCAUUAUUAAACUGCUUCCUUAGCUGUGAACACUGUAUGACUGUGGGUUGUGUCUGGAAAGGAAUAUGAUUUGCUAGUUGUUUUUGGUUUUUUUUAAAUUAGCUUCUCAUUUUCUUAUACUUGCCUCAGUUUCCUCAUCUAGUUUUAAUAUGGAAUUGAUUUUGAAAUUGUGUUACCCAAGCUCUUUUUUUUUUUUUGAUAAGGAUUCUCACUCUGUCGCCAGGCUGGAGUGCAGUCGUGCGAUCUCAGCUCACUGCAACCUCCGCCUCUUGGGUUCAAGCGAUUCUCCUGCCUCAGCAUCCCGAGUAGCUGGGACUAUAGGCAUGUACCACCAUGCCCAGCUAAUUUUUGUAUUUUUAGUAGAGACAGGGUUUCACCAUGGUUGCCAGGAUGGUCUCGAGCUCUUGACUUUGUGAUCUGCCCAUCUUGGCCUCCCAAAGUGCUGGAAUUAUGAGCUGUGGUGCCUGGCUUUUUUUUUUCUUUGAGACAGAGUUUCACUCUUGUUGCCAAGGUUGGAGUGCAGUGGAGUGAUCUCGGCUCACUGUAACCUCCACCUCCUAGGUUCAAGCGAUUCUCCUGCCUCAGCCUCCCAAGUAACAGGGAUUACAAGCACCUGCUACCAUGCCCAGCAAAUUUUGAUAUUUUUAGCAGAGAGGGGGUUUUACCAUGUUGGCCAGGCUAGUCUUGAGCUCAGGUGAUCCUCCCACCUCGGCCUCCCAAAGUGCUGGGGUUACAGGCACGAGCCACCGUGCCUGGCCAAGUUACCCUAGCUCUUAUGUUCCUGUUUCCCUAACAUAAUACCUCCUCUACUUAUGAGAGAACUCCUAAUAUUAAGGGGAGAUGAAGGUCAUUUUUUGUAACUUCUUCCUGCUGAGAGUGGACAUUGAUCUUUGGGUUAGGAUUCUCUCAUAAGGAUUUGCAGUCAGCUUCACGAUGUUCUGAUGGUUCUUUUCUUUGUUCUUUUUUUUUCUUUUGGACAAAGUUUUGCUCUGUUGCCAGGCUAGAGUGCAGUGGCAUGGUCUCAGCUCACUGCAACCUCCACCUCCCAGGUUCAAGGGAUUUUCCUGCCUCACCUUUCUGAGCAGCUGAGAGUACAGGUACACACCGCCAUGCCCAGCUGCUUUUUUUUUUUUUUUGACACAGAGUCUUGCUCUGUCACCAGGCUGAAGUACAGUGGCGCAAUCUCGGUUCACUGCAACCUCUGCUUCCUGGGUUCAAGUGAUUCUUCUGCGUCAGCCUCCCAAGUAGCUGGGACCACAGACACGUGUCACCAUGCCCAGCUAAUUUUUGGAUUUUUAGUAGAGACGGGUUUCACCAUGUUGGCCGGGAUGGUCUCGAUCUCUUGACCUCGUGAUCCGCCCACCUCAGCCUCCCAAAGUGCUGGGAUUACAGGCGUGAGCCACCGCACCCAGCCUAAUUUUUGUAUUUUUAGUAGAGACAGGGUUUCACCAUGUUGGCUGGGAUGGUCUUGAUCUCUUGACCUCGUGAUCCACCCGCCUUAGCCUCCCAAAGUGCUAGGAUUACAGGUGUGAGCCACCACACCUGGUGAUGUUCUGAUGAUUCUGUGGGCAUAGCCCUGCCCAGUAUUGGAGAAGUAAAAAUCUCUGGAUGUCUGAUCUGUGGUACCUAAAGGCAGGAUGUCUGUAUUUCUCAGGUUAGAAGAUGGUAUGGGUUGGAAGCCUUCUGCCAACAUAAUCUUUAUGUGGGAUUGUUGUAAUCUAGUAGACACAAACUUCACCAAAGUGUUAAACAAGCAAGGGCCAAAGACUAGUAAUAACAAGAUAGCGAUCAAAGGUCCUAGGAAGAGGAAAAACCAGUUGAGACUCAGGAGGGUGCUUUUUUUUCCUUUUUCUGUUUUUCUUUUCCCCCAGGUAGGGUCUUGCUAUGUUGCCCAGGCUUGAUUGAACUCCUGGCCUCAAGUGAUUCUCCUGCCUUGGCCUCCCAAAGUGCUGAGAUUACAGGCCUGAGCUACUGAGCCUUGUCUAACCUCUAAAUCUCUACUUUUAUAGGAGGUUUUUUUUUUUUUUUUUUUUUUUGGAGACAGUGUCUUGCUCUGUGGCCUAUGCUAGAGAUGGAGAGCAGUGGUGUGAUCAUGGCUCACUGCAGCCUUGACCUCCUGGCUGAAGCUAUCCUCCUACCUCAGCCUCCCAAGUAGCUUGGACUACAGGUGCCCAGCUAAUUUUUGUAUUUUUAUAGAGGACAGCCAUGUUUCCCAGGCUGGUCUCGAACUCUCCUUGCAGGCAUUAUUAAGCUGCUUCCUGUGGGGCACAGUGGCUCACACUUGUAAUCCCAGCACUUUCGGAGGCCAAGGCGGAUGGAUCACCUGAGAUCAGGAGUUCAAGACCAGCCUGGCCAACAUGGUGAAACUCCAUCUCUACUGAAAAUACAGAAAUUAAACAGGUGUGGUGGCAGGCACUUAUACUCCCAGCUAUUCAGGAGGCUGAGACAGGAGAAUCACUUGAGCCAGGGAGGCAGAGGUUGCAGUGAGCCGAGAUUGCACCACUGUAUUCCAGCCUGGGUGACAAGAGCAAAACUCUGUCUCAAAAAAAAAAAAAAGCUACCUCCUUAGCUGUAGACAUCUUUUGACCAUGGAUGAUGGCUGGCAAGCAAUGUACCUUGCUAGUUUUAAGAUGGAAUUGAUUUUAAAAUUAUGUCAUCCUGGCUCCCCUAUACUUCUGUUUCUCUCUCUUUUUUUUUUUUUUUCUGAAACAGGGUCUCACUCUGUUGCCCAGGCUGGAGUGAGUGUGGCAGUGGGAUCUCAACUCACUAUAGCUCUACCUCCCCAACUUAAGGGAUCUUCCCAUCUCAGCCUCCCAAGUAGCUGGGACAAUAGGCAUUGCCACCACACCCCGCUAGUUUAUUUAUUUUUUUUGUAGUGAUGGGGUUUCUCCAUAUUGCCCAUGGACUCAAACUCCUGGACUCAAGCAAUCCACCUGCCUUGGCCUCUCAAAGUGCUGGGAUUAUAGGUGUGAGCCACCACACCCAACUGUAACACAUUUUAAUGCCAGAAAUAUUGAAUAACUUUAUUUUGCCUCUUCUUUUCUUUUUUUUUUUUUCUCAGACAGUCUUGCUGUGUUGCCCAAGCUGGAGUACAGUGGCACAAUUUCAGUUCACUGAAACCUCUGCCUCCUAAGUUCAAACAGUUCUUGUGCCUCAGCCUCCCAAGUAGCUGGGAUGUGCCACAACACCUGGCUAAUUUUUAUAUCUUUAGUAGAAAUGGGGUUUUGCCAUGUUGCCCAGGCUGGUCUUGAACUCCUGCCUCAAGUGAUUUGCCUGCCUUGGUCUCCCAAAGUGCUAAGAUUACAGGCGUAAGCCACCAUGCCUGGCCUGCCUCCUCUUUAGUACCUGAAAGGAAAGUAUGACUUUUAAAAAAAAUCUGUGGUUGGCUGGGCAUGGUGGCUCAUGCCUGUAAUCCCAGCACUUUGGGAGGCCGAAGCAGGUGGAUCACGAGGUCAGGAGUUCAAGACCAGCCUGGCCAAGAUGUUGAAACCCCGUCUCUACUAAAAAUACAAAAUUAGCUGGGCGCGGUGGCACGUGCCUGUAAUUCCAGCUACUCAGGAGGCUGAGGCAAGAGAAUUGCUUGAAUCCAGGAGGCGGAGGUUGCAGUGAGCCGAGAUUGCACCACUGCACUCCACCCUGGGUGAUAGAGUGAGACUCUGUCUCAAAAAAAAAAAAUCUGUGGUUAACCUACAUAGGUCUUUUUUUUUUGAGGCAGAGUCUUGUUCUGUCACCUAGGCUGGAGUGCAGUGGAGCAAUCUCAACUCACUGCAACCUCUGCCUCCUGGGUUGAAGUGAUUCUCCUGCCUCAGCCUCCUGAGUAACUGGGACGACAGGUGCACUCCACUGCACCCAGUUAAUUUUUUAUGUUUUUAGUACAGAUGGCUGUCACCAUAUUGGCCAGGUUGGUCUCAAACUAUUCACCUCAUGAUCCACCUGCCUUGGUUUCCCAAAGUCCUGGGAUUACAGGUGUGAGCCACCACUCCUGGCCUUUGUUUAUCUUUAGAAAUGGAGUCUCACUCUGUUGCCCAGGCUGGAGUGCAAUUGUGUGAUCUUGGCUUACUGCAGCCUCUGCCUCCCAGGUUCAAGUGAUUCUCCUACCUUAGCCUCCUGAGCAGCCGGAAUUACAGACAUGCACCACUAAGCCGGGUUAAUUUUUGUAAGUUAGUAGAGACUGGGUUUCACAAUGUUGGCUAGGCUGGUCUCGAACUUCUGACCUCAAGUGAUCCGCCCACUUUAGCCUCCCAAAGUUCUGGGAUUACAGGCAUGAGCCACCACGCCAGGCCUGUAUUUGUUUUGAUAUUUGUGUGUGUGUGCGUGUGUAUGUGUGUGUGUGUAGGUAUGUACACACACGCACACACAAUUGAAUAGUAGUUAUCUAUGUCUGGAACAUAAACACAGUAGUAUUUACUGUCUUGACAUUUUUUUUCCUCCCCCAAGACAGGGUCUCACUCUGUUGCCUAGGCUGGACUACAGUGGCAUGAUCAUGGCUCACUGCAGCCUCCAUUUCUCAGGCUCAAACGAUGCUCUCACCUCAGCCUCUUCAGUAGCUGGAACUACAGGCAAGCACCAAUGUGCCUGGUUAAUUUUUUGUAGAGGUGGGGUCUCAUUAUGUUACCCAUGCUAAUCUUGAACUCCUGGGUUUAGUUGAUCCCACCUUGGCCUCCCAAAGUGCUGAGAUUGCAGUAUAGGCCACUGUGAGUAGUCUGUCUGCACAUUUUAAUUGAUUAUAUAGGUCUUUCUUUUGUUGUACUCUUUCAGGCCUGUAACUGUUUGCUUUGAGUCUUUGGUGUAGUGGGAAACCCCUCUUAUCUUUCCUACAUAAUAUCAUCACCAUUUGCUACUGUUUUUUUUUUUUGACAGUUUCCAUAUUGUGGUUUAGACACAGAAGUUCACAAAAUAUUUUGUUCAUUUCACUAACUCUACAAGUAAAAACAAACUACCAAAUGGCAACAAUUUACCAAGUGUUAACUAUUUAUAAAUAUUUGACCUCCAUUCUUAUUUAUCCCAAUGUUACAAAUUUACAUAAGACAUUUUGGGUUCUGCUUUACCACAGAUAGAUGGUAUUAGGGAAAGAAAAUUAACUUUGGUGGGAUGGCUCAGGCCUAUAAUCCCAGCACUUUGGGAGGCCAAGGCCCGAAGAUCACUUGAGGCCAGUAGUUAGAGAUCAGCCUGACCAACGUGGCGAAAUUCUGUCUACUAAAAAUACAAAAAUUAGUUGGGCCUGGUGGCACGCAUCUGUAAUCCCAGCUACUUGGGAAGCCGAGGCACGAGAAUCACUUGAGCCCAGGAGGUGGAGGUUGCAGUGAGCAGAUAUCAUGCCACUGUACUCCAGCCUGGGUGACAGAAUAAGACUCUGUCUCAAAAAAAAAAAAAAAAAAAAAAAAAAAGGAGGGGGGAAUAGAAAAUUGACUUUGGUGGUGUCAGAUAGGACUAGAUUCAAUUCUAGUUUUGUCAGUUAAUAGUGGUAUGACCUUAGACCCUUUAUUUUUCCUGAGCCUCAUUUAUGAAUGGCACUCAUUAUUAACUUGGAAUCAUCUUUUUCUCAUACAUUCAGUCCCAUUAAUUAAAUGUUGUCAUUUACCUUCAAAAUAUGCCCACUACAUUUUAUCACACCACUCUAUUAUUUCACAGCUCUUACAGAAUCUGAAAUUACCUUGUUUGCACAUUUAUUUACUUGUUGAAAGUUUCUUCCUUUAAGUAAACUCCAUAUCUCUUUUUGUGGAAGUCAAUCUUGGUUGCCCUUGGAGAAGCUACCUUCUUCCAUUCUUCAUUGCUAAAAGAACCUCCUUUACCUGCCACUGUUUAAAGGAUAUUCGUGUGCUCAGUCCCAGGGGACAAAUCAAUGCAACCUUUUUUCCCUUUUGCCAGAUACUUGCUUUCUCAGUUUCCUUCACGAUUGGACCUGAUUCUGGCCAAUGGGACAUAAAGAGGCAAGUCAGCUAAGGAGUUUCUGGUAAUGGAUUUCCUCUCUGAUAAAAAGAGAUUACCCCCUUGAGGAAAUCCCUUUUGUUUCACCCCCUCCCUUUGCUUUCUGCCUUUGGAAAUGUCCUUUGAAGAUAUGAUGCCUAGAGCCAAUUUAAAACCUUGAGGGUCUAAUACAAAGAGAAUCAUAAAGAUACCAGUUCAGUGCAGUGGUCUGAUAUUGUGAAACUAUAGGCCCAACCUUAAACCAACCUAUCUCCACAUUUAUUAAUUAAAUAAUAAAUUAAGGAAACUAAAUAUUAACCAAUAAAGGAAACAGUAAAUGUCCUUAUAAUGUAAGCUAAUGCAAGCAGGCUUUAUCUCUAGUGCCAAGAACAAUACCUGGCACAUAGUAGGUGCUUAAUAUAUAAUUUUUGUUGAAUUUUUGAACUUUGUGAUUGAUUGGAUGUGGGGUGUGAGGUAAAGUGAGGAAUGGAGGUUAUUUUGUAGGUUUCUCUUUUUUAAUUAAUUAUUUAUUUAUUUUUGAGACAGAGUCUCACUCUGUCACCCAGGCUGGAGUGCAAUGGAGCAAUCUCUGCUCACUGCAACCUGUGCUGCCCGGUUUCAAGCGAUUCUCCUGCCUUAGCUUCCCGAGUAACUGGGAUUACAGGCCCCUGCCAUUGUGCCCAGCUAAUUCCUGUAUUUUCAGUAGAGACAGGGUUUCACCAUGUUGGCCAGGCUGCUCUUGAACUCCCGAACUUGUGAUCCAUCUGCCUCCCAAAGUGCUGGGAUUAUAGGUGUUAGCCACAGCGCCUGGGUGAAAGUGGUGCCUUUUUUUUUUUUUUUUUUUUUUGAGACAGAGUCUUGCUGUUUCACUGUUUCAUCAGGCUGGAGUGCGGUGGCAUUAUCUCAGGUCACUGCAACCUCUGCCUCCCGGGUUCAAGCGAUUCUCCUGCUUCAGCCUCCCAAGUAGCUGGGAAUACAGGCAGGCACCAGCAGCCCAGCUAAUUUUUCUAUUUUUAGUAGAGACGGGGUUUCCUGGGUUGGCCAGGAUGAUCUCGAUUACUUGACCUCGUGAUCCGCCCACCUUGGCCUCCCAAAGUGCUGGUAUUACAGGCAUGAGCUGAAAGUGGUGCUCUUUAUAGAGAACCCUGAAGUAGAUAGAGAACCUGGCCUUAGUGAGGAAUUGAAAGAAUGGGCCAGGCACGGUUGCAUAUAUGCUUUGGAAGGCCGAGGUGGGCGGAUCACCUGAGGUCGGGAGUUUGAGAUCAGCCUGACCAACACGGAGAAACCCCAUCUCUACGAAAAAUACAAAAUUAGGACGUGUUAGCACAUGCCUGUAAUCUCAGCUACCCAGGAGGCUGAGGCAGGAGAAUCGCUGGAACCUGGGAGGCAGAGGUUUCAGUGAGCCCAGUUGGUACCAUUGCACUCCAGUGUGGGCAACAAGAGCGGAAGAAAGGAAGGAGGGAGGGAGGGAGGAAAGGAGGGAUGGAAGGAACGAUCAUAUUUAAAGUAGAGAAAAUGAGCUUAUAAAAGGAGUCUGGGAGAAAUGAAGAAAGGAAGAGAGAGAGAGAGAUCAUAUUUAAAGUAGAGAAAAUAAGCUUAUGAAAGGAGUCUAGGCCAGGCACAGUGACUCAUGCCUGUAGUCCUAGCACUUUGGGAGGAUGAGAUGGGCAAGUCACCUGAGGUCAGGAGUUCAAGACCGGCCUGGCCAAGAUGGUGAAACCCUGUGUCUACUAAAAUACAAAAAUUAGCCAGGCAUGGCCAGGCACAGUGUCUCAGGCCUAUAGUCCUAGCACUUUGGGAGGCCAAGGUGGGUGGAUCAACUGAGGUAAGGAGUUUGAGACUAGCCUGACCAACAUGGUAAAACCCCAUCUCUACUAAAAAUAAAAAAUUAGCUGGGUGUGGUGGCAGGUGCCUGUAGUCCCAGCUACUCUGGAGGCUGAGGCAGAAGAAUCGCUUGAACCCGGGAGGUGGAGGUUGCAGUGAACUGAGACUGUGCCACUGCGCAGUGAGACUCAGUCUCUUAAAAAAAAAAAAAAAUUAGCUAGGCAUGAUGGCAGGUGCCUGUAAUCCCAGUUACUUGGGCUGAGACAGGAGAAUCACUUGAACCUGGGAGAAGGUAGUUGCAGAGUCAAGAUCACACCGCUGCACUCCAGCCUGGGCAGCUGAGUGAGACUCCAUCUCACAAAUAAAUAAAUAAAUACAUAUAAAAAUAAAAGGAGUCUGAUAAAGAAUGAUCAAAGAGGAAGAACUGGGAGUUUUACAAUCCAAGUAAAGAGUUUUCAGAGAGUACAGUGUCCGAUGCUGCAGAGAGGUUAAAUAGGGUAAAUAUUAGAAAGGGUCCAUUGUAUUAAAUAUGUAGAAAACAAUAUGGUGUCUAUUUUUAUUUUCUUAUUGGACAAUAUUGAGAGGGUAGCAUGCCAGGUACUCUUUAUAAGUGUUGGAUAGAUGUAACAGUGAAUAAAAUAAGUCUCACUGGAGUGAUGAGAAGGGACAUGCUUGCCUCUUCCUAAUCUUAGUGGGAAAGCUUCUAAUUUCUCACUUUUAAGUAUAAUGUUAGUUGUAGGGAUUUUGUAGAUAUUUUUGAUCAAAUCGAGAAAGUUCCCCUCUAUCCUAGUUUACCAAGAGAGUUUAUUAUGAAUGAGUGUUGGAUUUUGUCAGAUGCUUCUUCUGCAUCUGUUGAUAUGAUUAUGUGAUUUUUUUCUUUCAAGGAGUCUUGCUUUAUCGCCCAGACUGGAGUGCAGUGGCACUAUCUUGGCUCACUGCAACCUCCACCGCCUGGGUUCAAGUGAUUCUCGUGCCUCCGCCACUGGAGUAGCUGGGAUUACAGGUGCACGUCACAGAACCUGGUUAUUUCUGUAUUAGUAGAAACAGGGUUUUGCCAUGUUGGCCAGGUUGGUCUUGACCUCUAACCUUAAGCCAUCCACCUGCCUUGGCCUCCCAAAGUCCUGGGAUUACAGGCGUGAGGCACCUUGCCCAGCCUUUUUCUUCUUUAGACUGCUGAUCUGAUGGAUUAUAUUAAUUGAUUAUUUUAUUUUUUAUUGAGAUGGAUCUCACCCUGUCACCUAGGCUGGAGUGCAGUGGCAUGAACAUAGCUCACUCCAGUAUUGAUCUCCUCGGCUCCAGCAAUCCUCUCACCUCAGCCUCCUGAGUAGCUAGGACUAACAUGGACAAGAUGGUGGGAGUCCUAUGGAGUCCUUAAGCCAUAUAAUAUGCAAAGGAUGAAGGAAGAUCAAGUCUAGGUGCCUGAUGACAACAUGGAGCUGUCACACAAGCCCUGGAUUGCCUACCCUUGGACUUCUCAUUAUGGGAGAAAAUGAAACAAUUCUUUUAAGCCACAUUGAUCUUUCUUCCUAUUUUUAUUUUUCUUUUGUUGAGUGUGUGUUUGUGUCUGUUAUUUACAGCUGAUUGUAAUUCAUAACUGAUGUGGUAGUGGGACUGUACAAGUUUUGUCUUCUGAUGCUUUUCUUUUUCUUUUUUCUUCACUGAAACGGAGAGGGUGAUCAUUAGCUAAAUGUAAGGAUUGGGGAAGGAGUGUGGGAGGCUUGUGGAGAGAAGAUGCGUGAAAUAGUUAUCUCUGAAUGGUAGAGUAAAUUAAGUAGGGAGAUACAGUAGGUCAUUCAGAUAUCUGUGGUUGUAAAUAUAAAAUGAGAUCAGUCAUCUGGAUUCUGUUUUUCUCUAGUCAGGUUUACCUGCUCAGGAGAAGGUAUAAACUUGAUAGUGAUUGGACUUAACCAGGAUUUAUAAUUUGCUAAAGCUAUUGUGUCACCAUUUAUGAAAUAGAAAAAGAUACUGUACGAUCACUGAGAAGACAGUUGACUGAAUGGACUUAUAAAAAACAGGUGACUGCUGGCCGGGCACGGUGGCUCAUGCCUGUAAUCCUAGCGCUUUGAGAGACCGAGAUAGAGGAUUUCCUGAGCUCAGGAGUUCAAGACCAGCCUGGGCAACACGGUGAAACCCCGUCUCUACUGAAAUACAAAAAAUUAGCUGGGGGUGGUGGCAUGUGUCUUUAAGCUACUUGGGAGGCCGAGGCUGAAGAAUUGCUUGAACCGAGGAAGUGGAGGUUGCAGUGAGCUGAGAUUGUUCCACUGCACUCCAGCCUGGGUGACAGAACGAGACUCAUCUCAAAAAACAAAAACAAAACAAAACAUGUAAUUAAUAAAAGCAGUAGACUUGAAAGUACAACUUACACAUAUUUUUUGAAUGGGUAAAAUUCCCAUGGUUCAAACAUUAAAGAGGUAAAAAGAUACACAGGCACACCUUAGUUUAUUGCACUUCACUUUAUUGAACUUUUCUUUUUCUUUCUUGAGACAGUUUUGCUCUUGUUGCCCAUACUGGCAUACAUGGGCAGUCCCACCACAACCUCUUCCUCCUGGGUUCAAGCGAUUCUCCUGCCUCAGCUCCCGAGUAGCUGGGAUUACAGGCAUGCACCACCAUGCCCAGCUAAUCUUUGUAUUUUUGGUAGAGAUGGGGUUUCACCACAUCGGCACGGCUGGUGUCGAACUCCUGACCCCAAGUGAUUCGCCUGCCUCGGCCUCCCAAAGCACUGGGAUUGCAGGCUUGAGCCACCUUGCCCAGCACUUUUUUUUUUUUUUAAAGACGGAAUUUUGCUCUUGUUGCCCAGGCUAGAGUGUAAUAGCACAUCCUGGCUCCGCCUGCCUAAUUUUUUUUUUUUUUUGAGAUGAAGUCUUGCUCUGUAGCCCAGGCUGGAGUGCAGUGGUGCGAUAUGAGCUCACUGCAACCUCCACCUCCCAGGUUCAAGUGAUUCUCCUGCCUCAGCCUCCCAAAGAGGUGGGACUACAGGUGUGUGCCAGCACGCCCAGCUAAUUUUUUGUAUUUUUUUUAGUAGAGACAGGGCUUCACCAUGUUAGCCAGGAUGGUCUUGAGCACCUGACCUCAUGAUCCUCCCACCUUGGCCUCCCAAAGUGCUGGGAUUAUAGGCAUGAGCCACCAUGCCCAGCCCACUUUACUGAACUUCAUGAAGAAUUAGGGUUUUUCUCUUUCAUUUUUUUAUAGACAUAUUGAAGGUUUAUGGCAACUCUACAUCAAGCAAGGUUGGCACCAUUUUCCCAAUAGCGUUUGCUCACUUCAUGUCUCUGUAUCACAUUUUGGUAAUUCUUAUAAUAUAACUUUUUCAUUACAGGCCACAUGCAGUGGCUUACGCCUAUAUUCCUAGCAUUUAGGGAGGCCAAAGCAGGUGGAUCUCCUGAGGUCAGAAGUUCAAGACAAGCCUGGCCAACAUGGCAAGACCCCGUCCCUACUAAAAAUACAAAAUUAGCCAGGUGUGGUGGCACACACCUAUGAUCCCAGCUACUUGGGAGGCUGAGGCAGGAGAAUCCUUUGAACUCAGAAGGUGGAGGUUGCUAUGAGCCGAGAUUGCACCAUUGCACUCCAGCCUGGGAGACAAAGCAAGAUUCUGUCUCAAAAAAAAAAAAAGGAAAAAACAGCUUUUUUAUUGUUAUUGUAUUUGUUAUGGUGAUCUGUGAUUAGUAAUCUUUGAUGUUAUUAUUGUGAUGGUUUUGGAGUGCCACAAACAUAAGAUCCCAUAUGCCAUUGAUCUUAAUCUAUAAAUGUGUGUAUUGUGAUUGUGCCACUGACCAGCCAUUUCCCAUCUCCUCUCCUUAGGCUUCCCUGUUCAAUUAGACACAACAUUGAAAUCAGACCAAUUAACCCUACAGUAGUCUCUGAGAGAGGCUAAAAGUUAAGCCUCUGGUGCUAAACACCCAAAUUGUGAGUGCAAAGGAAAAGUUCUUAAAGGAAAUUAAAAGUGCUACUCCAGUGAACACAUGAAUGAUAAGAAAGUGAAAUAGGCCAGGCGUGGUGACUCAUGCCUGUAAUCCCAGCACUUUGGAAGGUUGAGGUGGGAGGAUCACCUGAGGUCAGUAGUUCAGGACCAGCCUGGCCAACAUGGUGAAACUCUUGUCUUCACUAAAAAUACAAAAAUUAUCUGGGUAUGGUGGGGCAUACCUGUAAUCCCAGCCACUUGGGAGGCUGAGGCAAGAGAGUCGCUUGAACCAGGAAUGGGGAAGGGGAAGGCCCACUGAAAAAAAAAAAAGGAAAAAAGAACCAGGAGGUGGAGGUUGCAGUGAGCUGAGAUUGUGCUGCUGAACUCCAGCCUUGUUAACAGAGGAAAACUCUCUCAAAAAACAACAACAGCAACAACAACAAAACCAGUCUUAUUGCUGCUGAGAGGGAGAAAGUUUUAGUAGUCUGGAUAGAAGAUCAAACCAGCCACAACAUUCCCUUAAACUAAAGCCUAAUCCAGAGAAAAGCCUCAGUUCUGUUUAAUUCUAUGAAGGCUGAGAGAGGUGAAGAAGCUGCAGAAGAAAAGUUUGAAGCUAGCAGAGGUUGGCUUGUGAGGUUUAAGGAAAGAAGCCAUCUCCGUAACAUAAAAGUGCAAAGCAAAGCAACAGGUGCUGAUGUAGAAGCUGCAGCAAGUGAUCCAGAAGAUCUAGCUAAGAUCAUUGAUGAAGGUGGCUAUAUUAAACAUUUUUGGCCAGGCACAGUGCCUCACAUCUAAUCCCAGCACUUCGUGAGGUUGAGGUGAGAGCAUUGCUUGAGGCCAGCCUGAACAACAGAGCAAGGCUUUUUUUUUACUGAGUAGCUGGGAUUACAGGUGCAUGCCACUGUGUUAGCCUAACUUGUGCUAGCCUAACUGACUCCAUCUUAGCUGUGAGCCUGACAAGCUCCAUCUUAGCUUUCCCUCCCUGCUAUGGCCCCCUCAGGGGCAUUACUGGUUCAUGCUGUACUCAGAACCUUGAACCAUUGAGGUUUGGGUCACACUGUUCUCAGAACCUCCAACUGAUGUAACCACAUCCUGCUUGGCAAGCCCACCUGCUAUUGUGAAAAACCCCCUCGGUGGUUGAUUAUAUAGAACGACCCCCUGCUACCCCCAUUGGUGAUUGUAUGGAAAUACCCUUGGUAACCAGCAACUAUGGGAACCUCCUGCCUUCUGGUUAUCAGCUUACUCCUAACUUACUUGUUCUGCUUCAGUAAAAUUCCACUUUGCCACCCCCUCUUCUCUAAGCAAGGUAUAAAAAGGAAUCAGACCCCUUCUUCAGGGCUGAGAGAAUUUUGAACAUUAGCCGUCUCGGUCGCUGGCAAUAAAGGACUCUCAAUUGAAGCUCAGAGCAUGGCACUUUCCUUACAACUCGCUUGGUUACCACACCACCAUGCUCAACUAAUUUUUUGUAUUGGUACAAACGGGGUUUCACCAUGUCGGUCAGGCUGGUCUUGAACUCCCAACCUCAGGUGAUCCACCCACCUUGGCCUCCAAAGUGCUUGGAUUACAGGUGUGAGCCACCAUGUCCGGCCCCAGAACAUUUUUUGUCUUCUCAAAAGAAACUCAGUGUCCAUUAACAGUUACUCCCAUUGCUGCCCUCCACCCAGCCUGGGCAACCACUAGUCUACUUUGUUUCCUUCCAUUUCCCUAUUCCAGACCUUUCAUAUAAAUGGAAUCAUACAAAAUAUGCGGCUUAUUAUGGCUGACUUCUCUCACUUAGCUGAUCUUUUCAAGGUUGAUUCAUGUUGUGGCAUGUAUCAGUACUUCAUUUCUUUGUAUUGCUAAACAAUAUUCCAUUGGAUGGAUAUACCACAUUUUCCUUCCUUCCUUCCUUCCUUCCUUCCUUCCUUCCUUCCUUCCUUCCUUCCUUCCUUUUUUCUUUGAGAUGGAGCCUUGCUCUGUCACCCAUGCUGAAGUGCAGUGGCGUGAUCUCGGCUCACUGCAACCUCCACUUCCCGGGCUCAAGCAAUUCUCCUGCCUCAGCUGCCUAAGUAGCUGGAAUUACAGGUGUGGGCCACCAUGCCUGGCCAAUUUUUGAAUUUUUAGUAGAGACAGGGUUUCACCAUGUUGGUCAGGCGGCUCUGGAACUUUUGGCCUCAGGUGAUCUGCCCACCUAGGCCUCCCAAAGUGCUGAGAUUAUAGGUGUGAGCCACUGCACCCACCUACCACAUUUUCUUUUUAUUUAUGUAUUUAUUUUUUGAGAGAGUUCCACUCUUGUUGCCCAGGCUGGGGUGCAUUGGCACGAUCUUGGCUCACUGCAAUCUCUGCCUCCUGGGUUCAAGCAAUUCUCCUGCCUCAGUCUCCCUAGUAGCUGGGAUUACAGGUGGAUGCCACAACACCCAGCUAAUUUUUGUGUUUUUAGUAAAGACGGGGUUUCACCAUGUUGGUCGGUCUGGUUUUGAACUCCUGACCUCAGGCAAUCUGCCCGCCUCAGCCUCCCAGAGUGCUGGGAUUACAAGCAUAAUCCCAACUGCACCCACUGUGCGACUGCACCCAACCCACAUUUUCUUUUUCUUUCUUUCUUUGAGACAGAGUUUUCUUUUGCCCAGGCUGGAGUGCAAUGGCUACCUCUGCUUACCAAAACCUCCGCCUCCUGGGUUCAAGUGAUUUCUUCUGCCUCAGCCUCCCGAGUAGCUGGGAUUACAGGCAUGCAUCACUUCGCCCGGCUAAUUUUGUAUUUUUAGUAAAACAGAGUUUCUCUGUGUUGGUCAGGCUGAUCUCGAAUUCCCGACCUCAGGUGACCUCAGGUGGCACAUGCCACCACACCCAGCUAAUUGUUUUUGUAUUUUUAGUAGAGACGGGGUUUCAUCAUGUUGGCCAGGAUGGUCUCAAUCUCUUGACCUCAUGAUCCACCCGCCUCCGCCUCCCAAAGUGCUGGGAUUACAGGCUUGAGCCACCGCACCCAGCCGACACUUGUCUUUUUUAUGAUGGUCCUCCUAUUGGAUAUGAGGUGGUAUCUCAUUGAGUUUUUUGUUUGUUUGUUUUUGAGACAGUUUUGCUCUGUUGCCCAGGCUGGAGUGCAGUUGUAUAAUCUCAGCUCACUGCAACCUCAGCUCCCCAAGUAGCUGGGAUUACAGGCACCUGCUACCAUGGCAGGCUAAUUUUUGUAUCUUUAGUAGUGAUGGGGUUUCACCAUGUUGACCAGGCUGGUCUUGAACUCCCGACCUCAGGUGAUCCACCCGCCUUGGCCUCCCAAAGUGCUGGGAUUCCAGGUGUGAGCCACCAUGCCCUGUCCUCACCGUGUUUUGAUUAGCAUUUCUCUGAUGACCAAUGGUUUUGGGCAUCUUUUCAUAUGUUUAUUGGUCAUUUGCAUUUCUUCUUUGGAUAAAUGUAUAUUCAUAUGAUUUGCCUAUUAAAAAUUUUUAGUGUUGAGUUGUGUGAGUUCUUUAUAUAUUCUGGACAUAAGUCUCUUAUCUGAUAUAUGGUUUGCAAAUAUUUAUUUCUUCCAUCAUGUGGGUUGUCUUACACUUUUAUCCCCCCCCCUUUUGAUAAAGAGCUGAUUUUUUUUUUGAGUUGGGGUGUUGCUAUGUUUCCCAGGUUGAUCUUGAAAUCCUGGGUGUAAGUGAUCCUCCUGCCUCAGCCUCACAGAGUAGCUGAGAUUGCAGGAGCAUGCCACCAUGCCUGGUUCGACACCUAAAAAAAAAAAAAUUAAGACCAGGUACAGUGGCUCACACCUGUAAUCCCAGCACUUUGGGAGGCUGAGGUGGUUGGGUCACCUGAAGUCGGGAGUUUGAGACCAGCCUGACCAAUAUGAAGAAACCCUGUCUCUACUAAAAAUAAAAAAUUAGCUGGGUGUGGUAGCACGAACCUGUAAUCCCAGCUACUCAGGAGGCUGAGACAGGAGAAUCGCUUAAACCCAAGAUCAUGCCACUGCACUCCAGCCUGGGCAACAAGAGCAAAGCUCCAUCUAAAAACAAAGUCCAUCUUACCAUUUUGUUUUUCUUUUGUUGUUUGUGCUUUUGGUGUCAUAUCUAAGAAAGCAUUGCCUAAUCAAAAGUAAUUAAGAUUUAUCUCUGUUUUCUUCUGAGUUUUAUGGCUUUAGCUCUUAUAUUUAGGUCUUUGAUCCAUUUUGAGUUAAUUUUUGUGUAUGGUCUGAGAUAGGAGUCUGUAUUAGUUUCACAGAGCUGCUUUUAAGCCACAACCUGAGUGGCUUAAAAGAACAGAAAUGUAUGACCUUAUAGUUCUAUAGGCUGGAAGUUUGAAAUCAACGUGUUGGCAAAUUUGGCUCCUUUUGGAGGCUCUGAGGGAGAAUCCAUUCCAUGUCUCUCUCCUAGCUUCUGCUGGUUGCUGACAAUCCUUGGAAUUCCUUACCUUGCAGACAUCACUACAAUUUCUCUAUCUGUUGCUACCGGGUAUUUUCCCCAUGUAUCUGUGUCUUCACAUGGCCUUCUUAUAAGGACAGUCAUUAGAUUUAGCGCCCACUCUAAUCCAGUAAUUCCUCAUCUUAACUAACUACAUUUGCAAAGAUCCUAUUUCUAAGGAGGGCCACAUUCUGAGGUUGUAGGUGGACACUGAAUGUCGGGUAGGGGGACACUUCACACAGCAGUCUAACUACAUUCCUUUGCAUGUGAAUAUCCAGUUGUCCCAGCAUCAUUUGUAGAAAAGACUUCUUUGGAGCACCUUGUUACAGCCUAGCAUGGGUGAAAGUCUAGGCUCACCACUGUCUUGCCGGUAUAGGUAGAGGUGGGGCCGUGUUUUUUUCUGUGGCAUUUGGCUGGAGUAGAGGAGUUACUAUUUAAAAGUUUGCUGUCUUGCUAGAUCAUCCCUUUCUUGGUUCUUUGGCUAGGAAGAGCAGACUCUUUUUCUUUUUUUUGGUCUCACCCUUUGGCAUUUUUGGAUUGUCAGCUUCUUCAGUUCCAAGGCUUUGAGAUGUAAGGUAAAAAGAAAACCCAGGGAAUUCAUCACCAUGUUGUUCUUGUUCCCAAGAUCCCUAGCUCAUCUGCUGUCUUCUCUCCAUCUUUCAGUCUUCUUCUUCUUCUUUUUUCUUUUGAGACUUAGUCUCACUCUGUUGCCCAAGCUGGAGUUCAGUGGUUCAAUCUUGGCUCAUUGCAACCUCCACCUCCUGUAUUCAAGCAAUUCUUCUGCCUUAUCAUCCUGAGUAGCUGUGAUUACAGGCCUGUGCCACCACGUCCAGCUAAUUUUUGUAUUUUAGUAGAGAUGGGGCUUCACCAUAUUGGCCAGGCUGGUCGUGAACUCCUGACCUCAAGAUAUCCACCUGUCUCAGUCUUUCAAAGUGCUGGGAUUACAGGCAUAAGCCAUCAUGCCUGGCCUUUCUUUCAGUCUUCUUAUGUUUGUUUUAUAUAUAAUGUCCAGGGUUUUUAGUUGUAUUUAGUGGGAGGAAUUUGGGAAGUAUGUCUGCUCCACCUUCCUAGUGCACUGAAUUUAUAAGGCAAUUUAAGUAGAAUUAACAUCUUUGUAAUCUGGUACUUCCAAAUAAUGAAUGUGAUAUAUCUCAGUAUAUUAAUCAUAAUAUCUUCAUAAUAUCUCUCAAUAAAGAUACUUUCUUGUA
Molecule: long non-coding RNA, 19198 nt
Organism: Callithrix jacchus (white-tufted-ear marmoset)
Lineage: Eukaryota; Metazoa; Chordata; Mammalia; Primates; Cebidae
Source: RefSeq, a predicted model, not a curated record